RNAcentral lists this transfer RNA (73 nucleotides) under Fidelibacterota bacterium. RNAcentral describes it as "tRNA-Ala". It matches the Rfam family "tRNA". Rfam says of the family: Transfer RNA (tRNA) molecules are approximately 80 nucleotides in length. Their secondary structure includes four short double-helical elements and three loops (D, anti-codon, and T loops). RNAcentral also lists the same sequence under 1 other name. The record is from RNAcentral. Lineage: Bacteria; Pseudomonadati; Fidelibacterota.
GGGGCUGUAGCUCAGCUGGGAGAGCGCAGCGUUCGCAAUGCUGAGGUCGUGGGUUCGAUUCCCAUCAGCUCCA